GAUGAAGAACGUAGCGAAAUGCGAUAAGUAAUGUGAAUUGCAGAAUUCAGUGAAUCAUCGAGUCUUUGAACGCACAUUGCGCCCCCUGGUAUUCCGGGGGGCAUGCCUGUCCGAGCGUCAUUGCCGCCCUCAAGCACGGCUUGUGUGUUGGGCCCCCGCCCCCCGGCUUCGGGGGGCGGGCCCGAAAGGCAGCGGCGGCACCGCGUCCGGUCCUCGAGCGUAUGGGGCUUCGUUACCCGCUCUGUAGGCCCGGCCGGCGCCCGCCGGCGACCCCAAUCAAUCUUUCCAGGUUGACCUCGGAUCAGGUAGGGAUACCCGCUGAACUUAAGCAUAUCAAUAAGCGGAGGA
RNAcentral lists this unclassified non-coding RNA (348 nucleotides) under soil metagenome. Its description in RNAcentral is "partial contains 5.8S ribosomal RNA, internal transcribed spacer 2, and large subunit ribosomal RNA". The stretch from base 1 to 120 matches the Rfam family "5.8S ribosomal RNA", at positions 35 to 154 of the family's 154-position model. The record is from RNAcentral.